GACGAACGCUGGCGGCGUGCUUAACACAUGCAAGUCGAACGAUGACGACCGAGCUUGCUCGGUCUGAUUAGUGGCGAACGGGUGAGUAACACGUGAGCAACCUGCCCUUCACUCCGGGAUAACCUCGGGAAAUCGGGGCUAAUACCGGAUAUGAGCUCCUGUCGCAUGGCGGGUGUUGGAAAGUUUUUCGGUGAAGGAUGGGCUCGCGGCCUAUCAGUUUGUUGGUGAGGUAGUGGCUCACCAAGGCGAUGACGGGUAGCCGGCCUGAGAGGGCGACCGGCCACACUGGGACUGAGACACGGCCCAGACUCCUACGGGAGGCAGCAGUGGGGAAUAUUGCACAAUGGGCGAAAGCCUGAUGCAGCGACGCCGCGUGAGGGAUGACGGCCUUCGGGUUGUAAACCUCUUUCAGCAGGGAAGAAGCGAAAGUGACGGUACCUGCAGAAGAAGCGCCGGCUAACUACGUG
RNAcentral lists this ribosomal RNA (467 nucleotides) under uncultured bacterium. RNAcentral's name for it is "partial 16S ribosomal RNA". It matches the Rfam family "Bacterial small subunit ribosomal RNA", at positions 28 to 507 of the family's 1533-position model. The record is from RNAcentral.